This 28-nucleotide small RNA is filed under the name Bombyx mori (domestic silkworm). RNAcentral's name for it is "piRNA piR-bmo-1846243". The record is from RNAcentral. Lineage: Eukaryota; Metazoa; Arthropoda; Insecta; Lepidoptera; Bombycidae.
UACUCAGUUGCUGUAUGAAACCCAUAGA